CUGCAUUCCAUUCCACACACAGGAAGCCUCAGUCUCCGUAGAGAGCAGGGACAGUAGUGAAGAAGACAUCUAGUGAGUGUGAGACACCCGGCAGCCAUCUUUGUGUGUCAGUUGGACUAAGCAGGACCCACAGCCCCUUCACGCUGCCUCCUCCUCACUCACUGAUACAUGAGAGACACAGCGACCAGAAGAUCCUGGAACUCACCAACAAGAUCAUUCAGCUGCUGACUGGAGAGGAGGGGGAGUAUAUAGAGGAACACAGGGGUCUGUACAAGGACGUGAUGAUGGAGAAUCACCGGCCCCUCACU
Pseudophryne corroboree (corroboree frog) is the source of this 308-nucleotide long non-coding RNA. RefSeq lists it as uncharacterized. The transcript has 3 exons. NCBI's taxonomy places the organism in Eukaryota, Metazoa, Chordata, Amphibia, Anura, Myobatrachidae. The record is from RefSeq and is a predicted model, not a curated record.